AUUCAGUUGAUGAGUCCGAAAUAGGACGAAACGCGCAUCCCGAUU
RNAcentral lists this non-coding RNA (45 nucleotides) under Schistosoma curassoni. The record is from RNAcentral. Lineage: Eukaryota; Metazoa; Platyhelminthes; Trematoda; Strigeidida; Schistosomatidae.